AGAGUUUGAUCCUGGCUCAGAGCGAACGCUGGCGGCAUGCUUAACACAUGCAAGUCGCACGGUCGGAGCAAUCCGGCAGUGGCGGACGGGUGAGUAACGCGUAGGUAUCUAUCCAAGGGUGGGGGAUAACGCCGGGAAACUGGUGCUAAUACCGCAUGAUGACUGAGGUCCAAAGGUCGCAAGACCGCCUAUGGAGGAGCCUGCGUCCGAUUAGCUUGUUGGUGGGGUAAUGGCCUACCAAGGCAUUGAUCGGUAGCUGGUCUGAGAGGAUGAUCAGCCCCACUGGACUGAGACACGGCCCAGACUCCUACGGGAGGCAGCAGUGGGGAAUAUUGGACAAUGGGCGAAAGCCUGAUCCAGCAAUGCCGCGUGGAUGAAGAAGGUCUUCGGAUUG
This 394-nucleotide ribosomal RNA is filed under the name uncultured bacterium. RNAcentral describes it as "bacterial SSU rRNA". It matches the Rfam family "Bacterial small subunit ribosomal RNA", at positions 8 to 425 of the family's 1533-position model. The record is from RNAcentral.